UUGCUUUGGCAGCAAAUUGGAACAAUACAGAGAAGAUUAGCAUGGUGCCUGUGCAAGGGUGACGUGCAAAUUCAUGAAGCAUUCCAUAUUUUU
This is a small nuclear RNA of Camelus dromedarius (Arabian camel), 93 nucleotides long. The record is from Ensembl. NCBI's taxonomy places the organism in Eukaryota, Metazoa, Chordata, Mammalia, Artiodactyla, Camelidae.